RNAcentral lists this transfer RNA (58 nucleotides) under Camponotus floridanus (Florida carpenter ant). It matches the Rfam family "tRNA", at positions 8 to 63 of the family's 71-position model. Rfam says of the family: Transfer RNA (tRNA) molecules are approximately 80 nucleotides in length. Their secondary structure includes four short double-helical elements and three loops (D, anti-codon, and T loops). Further hydrogen bonds mediate the characteristic L-shaped molecular structure. tRNAs have two regions of fundamental functional importance: the anti-codon, which is responsible for specific mRNA codon recognition, and the 3' end, to which the tRNAs corresponding amino acid is attached (by aminoacyl-tRNA synthetases). tRNAs cope with the degeneracy of the genetic code in two manners: having more than one tRNA (with a specific anti-codon) for a particular amino acid; and 'wobble' base-pairing, i.e. permitting non-standard base-pairing at the 3rd anti-codon position. The record is from Rfam by way of RNAcentral. Lineage: Eukaryota; Metazoa; Arthropoda; Insecta; Hymenoptera; Formicidae.
UGGCGUAGUAGACAGCGCACUAGUCUACAAAACCAAAGGCCCUGGGUUCGAGUCCCGG